AACGAACGCUGGCGGCGCGUCUUAAGCAUGCAAGUCGGACGGCAAGGGUUGUGCUUGCACAACUCCUAGAGUGGCGGACUGGUGAGUAACGCGUGGGUGACCUGCCCUCGAGAUGGGGAUAGCCAUUAGAAAUAGUGGAUAAUACCGAAUACGCUCAUGACCCUGUGGGGAUAUGAGGAAAACAGGCUACGGCCUGGCUCGAGGAUGGGCCCGCGUCCCAUUAGCUAGUUGGUGAGGUAACGGCCCACCAAGGCGACGAUGGGUAUCCGGCCUGAGAGGGUGUACGGACACAUUGGGACUGAGAUACGGCCCAAACUCCUACGGGAGGCAGCAGCUAAGAAUAUUCCGCAAUGGACGAAAGUCUGACGGAGCGACGCCGCGUGGAUGAAGAAGGCCUUCGGGUUGUAAAGCUCUGUCUGGAGGGACGAAGGAAGUGACGGUACCUCCGGAGGAAGCCACGGCUAACUACGUG
This 472-nucleotide ribosomal RNA is filed under the name uncultured bacterium. RNAcentral's name for it is "bacterial SSU rRNA". It matches the Rfam family "Bacterial small subunit ribosomal RNA", at positions 29 to 507 of the family's 1533-position model. The record is from RNAcentral.